Molecule: transfer RNA, 72 nt
Filed under: Ovis aries (sheep)
Lineage: Eukaryota; Metazoa; Chordata; Mammalia; Artiodactyla; Bovidae
Rfam family: tRNA
About the family: Transfer RNA (tRNA) molecules are approximately 80 nucleotides in length. Their secondary structure includes four short double-helical elements and three loops (D, anti-codon, and T loops). Further hydrogen bonds mediate the characteristic L-shaped molecular structure. tRNAs have two regions of fundamental functional importance: the anti-codon, which is responsible for specific mRNA codon recognition, and the 3' end, to which the tRNAs corresponding amino acid is attached (by aminoacyl-tRNA synthetases). tRNAs cope with the degeneracy of the genetic code in two manners: having more than one tRNA (with a specific anti-codon) for a particular amino acid; and 'wobble' base-pairing, i.e. permitting non-standard base-pairing at the 3rd anti-codon position.
Source: Rfam by way of RNAcentral
UCCCCAGCGGUCCAGUGGUUAGGACACGGCACUUUCAUUGCCAUGGAGCAGGUUUGAUUCUUGGUUGGGGAG